CCUUUAGAUGUCCUGGGCCGCACGCGCGCUACACUGAGUGUCUGAGAUACGAGUCUGCCUGGUCCGGCAAGGUCUAGGUAAUCGCUAAAAGACACAUCAUGCUUGGGAUAGAUUAUUGCAAAUAUUAAUCUUGAACGAGGAAUUCCUAGUAAGCGCAAGUCAACAGCUUGCGUUGAUUACGUCCCUGCCCUUUGUACACACCGCCCGUCGCUACUACUGAUUGGAUGUUUAAGCGAGGUUCUCGAACUGCUAGCGACUUAGCUUCGGUGAGGUCGCAGUGUGGGAAGUGAACCUAGCUUUGGUGUCUAGAGGAAGUAAAAGUCGUAACA
Molecule: ribosomal RNA, 329 nt
Filed under: uncultured eukaryote
Lineage: Eukaryota
Description: partial 18S ribosomal RNA
Rfam family: Eukaryotic small subunit ribosomal RNA
Source: RNAcentral